Molecule: ribosomal RNA, 440 nt
Filed under: uncultured Pseudomonas sp.
Lineage: Bacteria; Pseudomonadati; Pseudomonadota; Gammaproteobacteria; Pseudomonadales; Pseudomonadaceae
Description: bacterial SSU rRNA
Rfam family: Bacterial small subunit ribosomal RNA
Source: RNAcentral
GGAAUAUUGGACAAUGGGCGAAAGCCUGAUCCAGCCAUGCCGCGUGUGUGAAGAAGGUCUUCGGAUUGUAAAGCACUUUAAGUUGGGAGGAAGGGCAGUUACCUAAUACGUAAUUGUUUUGACGUUACCGACAGAAUAAGCACCGGCUAACUCUGUGCCAGCAGCCGCGGUAAUACAGAGGGUGCAAGCGUUAAUCGGAAUUACUGGGCGUAAAGCGCGCGUAGGUGGUUUGUUAAGUUGAAUGUGAAAUCCCCGGGCUCAACCUGGGAACUGCAUCCAAAACUGGCAAGCUAGAGUAUGGUAGAGGGUGGUGGAAUUUCCUGUGUAGCGGUGAAAUGCGUAGAUAUAGGAAGGAACACCAGUGGCGAAGGCGACCACCUGGACUGAUACUGACACUGAGGUGCGAAAGCGUGGGGAGCAAACAGGAUUAGAUACCCCGG